Molecule: long non-coding RNA, 265 nt
Filed under: Elaeis guineensis (African oil palm)
Lineage: Eukaryota; Viridiplantae; Streptophyta; Magnoliopsida; Arecales; Arecaceae
Description: long non-coding RNA (EGUI_LNC008554)
Source: RNAcentral
CUCCCUUGGGCGUCCCACAUGCCCCAUCUUUGGAUGUCCCAUCCUUCACACCCAAAAGGGGCCUUGGCAUCCCAUCUUGUGCACUGAUUUCUAGUGCUGGUAGUAGCAUAAUAUAAGGAGAGAAAAAUAAGAGAAAAAGAGAAGAAGAAGAUCAAAUAAAGAGAUCAAGUGUUGAUCAUGAUCCAGGCUUCGUUCAGAUUCAGCAGGCUGAAUUUUCUUAAGAGAAAAAAAAUUUACUUGAAGAGGACUCUUCCAGGCUGAUCCU